RNAcentral lists this long non-coding RNA (263 nucleotides) under Malus domestica (apple). Its description in RNAcentral is "long non-coding RNA (MDOM_LNC015637)". The record is from RNAcentral. Lineage: Eukaryota; Viridiplantae; Streptophyta; Magnoliopsida; Rosales; Rosaceae.
AAAAGGGACCAAACUGGUACCGCGGCUACCUUCCAAAACUCAAGUUACCGGAUCGAAGAGAUAGAGUGAUCCUCUGUCAGCGUCUUCAGCCACCUCUCACCUGCAGCCAGCCACCUCUCUUUGUGAAGCCUUUUUAGCUCAUGGCUUCAACAAUUGUUAACGUGGGACCCAUCCUGGGUCUGGAUUACGUUGGUCUCAGACCCGCCAAACCUCUGAAACUCAAUUCGGGUCGGAUCCAAAUCAAGACCACCCGCCCACAGCGC